This 496-nucleotide ribosomal RNA is filed under the name uncultured Cytophaga sp. RNAcentral describes it as "bacterial SSU rRNA". It matches the Rfam family "Bacterial small subunit ribosomal RNA", at positions 521 to 1019 of the family's 1533-position model. The record is from RNAcentral. Lineage: Bacteria; Pseudomonadati; Bacteroidota; Cytophagia; Cytophagales; Cytophagaceae.
UAAUACGUAGGUGGCAAGCGUUGUCCGGAUUUAUUGGGUUUAAAGGGUGCGUAGGCGGCUUUGUAAGUCAGUGGUGAAAGCCGGUAGCUUAACUAUCGAAAUGCCAUUGAUACUGCAGAGCUUGAGUACAGUUGAGGUAGGCGGAAUUGACAGUGUAGCGGUGAAAUGCUUAGAUAUUGUCAAGAACUCCGAUUGCGAAGGCAGCUUACUAAAGUGUAACUGACGCUGAGGCACGAAAGUGCGGGGAUCAAACAGGAUUAGAUACCCUGGUAGUCCGCACCGUAAACGAUGAUCACUCGCUGUGUGCGAUAUACAGUACGCGGCUAAGCGAAAGCGAUAAGUGAUCCACCUGGGGAGUACGCCGGCAACGGUGAAACUCAAAGGAAUUGACGGGGGUCCGCACAAGCGGAGGAGCAUGUGGUUUAAUUCGAUGAUACGCGAGGAACCUUACCUGGGCUAGAAUGUGAAGGAAUGUUUUAGAAAUAGAACAGUCAGC